AGUCAUUUUGCCACUAAACAAUAAAAGAGAGAGAGGUUGAGAGAAAUCCAAGAAACAACUGAUGAUAGCUUGCAAAGUUCGCCAGACUAGGUUUCCAGCGAUUCUUGUCAAGAAGAAAUCAUUUGAGAAGGGGAAGGCAGGUUUGGAAAACUAUGCCAGGAGCCAAAGGGAGUCUCCCUGGAGCUAUUCUGAUCUUUCCAGGUGAGUAAAAAAAUGGAGAGAGGAGAAGACAGAGCGGGGGGAGAGAAAGACAGACACCUGCAGACUUGUUUCACCGCUUGUGAAGCAACCCCCUUGCAGGAGGAGAGCCAGGAACCGGGAUCCUUGUGCAGCCACCAGGUUCCAGAUGCUAGCAGGAUGCCGACCAGACUUCCCUGGACAGACGACCCCACCAAUGUGACUUGGAGCUCUGCUUCCCCAAAGCCCUUCCCCACUAGGGAAAGAGAGAGACAGGCUGGGAGUAUGGAUCGACCUGUCAAUGCUCAUGCUCAGCGGGGAAGCAAUCACAGAAGCCAGACCUUCCACCUUCUGCAUCCCACACUGACCUUGGGUCCAUACUCCCAUAGGGAUAAAGAAUAGGAAAGCUAUCAGGGCAGGGGAUGGGAUACGGAGUUCUGGUGGUGGGAACUGUGCAAAGCUGUACCCUUGUUAUCCUAUGGUUUUGUCAAUGUUUCC
Long non-coding RNA from Erinaceus europaeus (western European hedgehog), 675 nucleotides. RefSeq lists it as uncharacterized. The transcript has 3 exons. The record is from RefSeq and is a predicted model, not a curated record. NCBI's taxonomy places the organism in Eukaryota, Metazoa, Chordata, Mammalia, Eulipotyphla, Erinaceidae.